GUGGGGACCUUUCCACGGUCUCCGUGUCGCAGCUAACGCAUUAAGUUCCCCGCCUGGGGAGUACGGCCGCAAGGCUAAAACUCAAAGGAAUUGACGGGGGCCCGCACAAGCGGCGGAGCAUGCGGAUUAAUUCGAUGCAACGCGAAGAACCUUACCAAGGCUUGACAUAUACCGGAAACUUCCAGAAAUGGUUGCCCCGCAAGGUCGGUAUACAGGUGGUGCAUGGUUGUCGUCAGCUCGUGUCGUGAGAUGUUGGGUUAAGUCCCGCAACGAGCGCAACCCUCGUUCUAUGUUGCCAGCACGUCAUGGUGGGAACUCAUAGGAGACUGCCGGGGUCAACUCGGAGGAAGGUGGGGAUGACGUCAAAUCAUCAUGCCCCUUAUGUCUUGGGCUUCACGCAUGCUACAAUGGCCGGUACAAAGGGCUGCGAUACCGUAAGGUGGAGCGAAUCCCAAAAAGCCGGUCUCAGUUCGGAUUGAGGUCUGCAACUCGACCUCAUGAAGUCGGAGUCGCUAGUAAUCGCAGAUCAGCAACGCUGCGGUGAAUACGUUCCCGGGCCUUGUACACACCGCCCGUCAAGUCAUGAAAGUCGGUAACACCC
Molecule: ribosomal RNA, 601 nt
Filed under: uncultured bacterium
Lineage: Bacteria
Description: bacterial SSU rRNA
Rfam family: Bacterial small subunit ribosomal RNA
Source: RNAcentral